AUGAUAUCGUGGCUGAAUCUUCUCUUGAUUCUAGCAGCCCUUGCAGAUGUCCGGUCCCAGGUUCUUCUGGUGGAGUCCGGAGGUGGAAUUCAGAAGCCCGGGGGAUCUCUCCGCCUCUCCUGCAAAGCCUCCGGGUUCACCUUCACCAGCUACCAUAUGAGCUGGGUCCGCCAGGCGCCCGGGAAGGGCCUGGAGUGGGUAUCACGGAUAUACAGCCCUGCUAAUAGCCACAGCACGUUUUACAGUGAUGCCGUUAAAGGGCGAUUCACCAUCUCCAGAGACGACUCCAACAGCCUGGUGUAUCUGCAAAUGACCAGCCUGAAAGCGGAAGACACCGGCCGCUAUUACUGUGCGAAAUCAGGGCUUCCGUCCUCUAAAAAUGCACAUUGGUAA
Molecule: non-coding RNA, 393 nt
Organism: Mauremys mutica (yellowpond turtle)
Lineage: Eukaryota; Metazoa; Chordata; Testudines; Geoemydidae
Source: the annotation of a RefSeq genome assembly